GAGACAGCAGUAGCCACGGUAAUACGAAGGGUGCAAGCGUUACUCGGAAUUACUGGGCGUAAAGCGUGCGUAGGUGGUGGUUUAAGUCCGUUGUGAAAGCCCUGGGCUCAACCUGGGAAUUGCAGUGGACACUGGGUCACUAGAGUGUGGUAGAGGAUAGUGGAAUUUCCGGUGUAGCAGUGAUAUGCGUAGAGAUCGGAAGGAACAUCUGUGGCGAAGGCGACUAUCUGGGCCAACACUGACACUGAGGCACGAAAGCGUGAGGAGCAAACAGGAUUAGAUACCCGCGUAGUCCCUGUCUCUUAUAC
This 308-nucleotide ribosomal RNA is filed under the name uncultured bacterium. Its description in RNAcentral is "partial 16S ribosomal RNA". It matches the Rfam family "Bacterial small subunit ribosomal RNA", at positions 505 to 807 of the family's 1533-position model. The record is from RNAcentral.